GUCCCUGUAGCACAUUGGAUAGCGUGUUGGACUUCUAAUACAAAGAUAGUGGGUUCGAAUUUCACCUGGGAUG
This is a non-coding RNA of Trichonephila inaurata madagascariensis, 73 nucleotides long. NCBI's taxonomy places the organism in Eukaryota, Metazoa, Arthropoda, Arachnida, Araneae, Nephilidae. The record is from the annotation of a GenBank genome assembly.